This is a long non-coding RNA of Acinonyx jubatus (cheetah), 2094 nucleotides long. RefSeq lists it as uncharacterized. The record is from RefSeq and is a predicted model, not a curated record. The transcript is spliced from 3 exons. NCBI's taxonomy places the organism in Eukaryota, Metazoa, Chordata, Mammalia, Carnivora, Felidae.
UGCUCUGAGACAGAAAGUAGGACUGCAAAGGCAAGGGCAGGAGGAGCAAAAGGUAAGAGAGCCUCUGAGCUUCCCUUUACUCUCUUCCAGGCUCUGAGGUUCUCGCAUAUUGAGAGAGAGGGUCUUACCCCACCCUCCCCUCAAGGAACUUGAUUGAACGAAUCCGUGUCCCUGGCACCCGGCCCAGCAACUGGCAUGGAGUCAGCGCUCUGUGAAUGUGCAGGGAAGGACAGACAGGUGGGAGCUCAGCCCCAACCCCCAGUCUGGACCCAAAGCUGGAAGGAGGAGAAGGUUCUCUAAGAGAGACAGAGUGCAAGCGGGGAAGGUACAGGGCGAUAGGGAGACACAGAAUCCAAAGCAGGCUCCAGGCUCCGAGCCUUCGGCACAGAAGCCCGCUUGGGUCUCAAACCCACAAACUGCAAGAUUAUGACCUAAGCUGAAGUCAGACACUUAACCGACUGAGCCACCCAGGCACCCCUGUAUAUCUUAUUCUUAGAAGGUUCUCCCAGAAGUUAAGAAAAGUUGCUCUCUCUGCCCUUUCAUUUUUAUGUUUUUUCCCCCUGUCCUGUCAUAUCUGAAUUUAAAAAAUAGAGGAACCAGGUUUCUUGUGCUCCCCGGCCUUACACCAGCUGGGUGACAGCAGCAGGUUAUUUCACCUCUCUGAGCCUCAAUUUCCUCAUCGUAAAAGCAGGGAUUCUGGAGGGGGUGCAAUGAUAAUGUGACUGCAGCAAGGCCUGGUUAGCUGGUAGGCGUUCCACAAAAGUCAGAGCAUUCCCUCAGCCCCUUUCGGAAGGAGGCAGGGGCGCCAAUUCUAAAUAAAUGUUACAGAAGGGCCUGUCAGCAGUUGCCUCUCAGAAUGACCUGUCACUUCGUUUCCCGGCUGCAGGAAGAGGAGCGUGGGAGUCUCCUGACAGGAGAUGACGGGGUCACACGAAUUCCUCACCCUCAGUGUUGGCUCCCACCCCAGGUGCUCAAUCGAUCCGACUCUGGAAGGCUGGACCCAUCUGUCCUGGGUUGGGAAGGAAUCCCUGCUAACAGCUGGGACAGGCCCCUGAUAUAUGGCCCCUGUCACCUCCCCCUCUUCUUUCUCUGAUCUCAGGUUGUAAGACCUCCGUGACCCCGGCCUCAGAGGGCAAAUGGCUCACAAGAAAGGUCUUUAGCGUCCUCCGAGGUCCAGAAGGUGACUUGGCUAUUGUCCGCAAAACCGCGUGCAGCCCCGGGAAAUCAGAAGGAAGGGCAAGAUUCCAGCCCAAGCAGACACUGUUUGCUGACCAGAUUCAAGGAUGGCCACCACCUUUGACUUCCUGCUAAUAGCCACGCUGGGCAGCUUCUCCAGAAACAACAUGUUCUCACUGUGAGAUCAGGGAGCAUGAGGGCUGCCUCCAACAGGAAGUGGCCAGAGCAGGCCAAGGCCACGGGGCCAGGCUGAGCACUGAAUACUGAUUUAUUCCUUGGCUUGGCUGGUGGUUGGGUGGGUCCCUGGGCUGACAGAGCUUCUCUUCCUGUCCCCAGUGCAGUCUGGCAGAGGGUGUGGCAGCAGCAGGGGCAGAAGUGCCAGGAUGAUGAUGCCUGACCUUGGUGCUAAGGGACCAAUUAGCCAGUCAUGGGGUGAAUCCCAUGACCCUGCUGCCAAUGCUCGGAGGCUCCCUGAGCCCCAGAUCCUCUCCCACUGCAGGCCAUGGCACCGGGACUCCAACACGCCCAGGGUCACCGGCACCGGCCAAUGUAGCUUGACCAAAGGGACAGACCCCAAGGGCCCGCUCCGAGGGAGGCCCAGCUGGGAGGAGACGCCAGAGAAUUCACGUUUUCUGACUUGCUUGGUAGAGUUCCUUCCUGCCCACCGCAAGUCAACAUACAAGCCGUUCUCGUGUAUGUAUGUGGACUCACAUACGGCAGGCACCCAGACACGCACAGGCAGAUCCACCCAGAGAUGGGGGCACAGACACGGACACCCUGACGCAUAAAGCAGAUGUGGCCCCCUGGGUGCGGCGCAUGACCAUAUCUACACAUGUGCAAUCACCAGCUACCAGUGGCCAGAAGGCCCCCUUGUCCUAAACCAGAAGCCUUCCAUUAGCCUAAGUUUAAAUUGUGUGU